RNAcentral lists this long non-coding RNA (336 nucleotides) under Selaginella moellendorffii. Its description in RNAcentral is "long non-coding RNA (SMOE_LNC001975)". The record is from RNAcentral. Lineage: Eukaryota; Viridiplantae; Streptophyta; Lycopodiopsida; Selaginellales; Selaginellaceae.
UGGGAUUGAAGGUGAAGAAUAUCAUGCCAGACUGAAGUAAGUGCCUAAAAUCAAUUUCUGUAAGUACAGAGAGUAUCACACACUAGGAGGUUUGUUCCAAGUUGAGAAUCCUACCUCAGACCCUUACCAAAACCCUGUCACAUGCCAGACUAACCAGGCGACUGGCCACAGUCUGGUGUCCACGGACAUGCAACUAGAUGAAUGAAAUGUGAAAACCUGGAUCAAAUUCAAGAUCGAAUGACAAAACUCACCGCCUUAUUGGCGCCUCCAGCAGCAGCAGAGAGAUGAGAAGAAUCACAGGCGCCAAUGGCCAUGUAAACCUAAUCUCUGUGAUCG